UGGGGAAUUUUGGACAAUGGGCGAAAGCCUGAUCCAGCAAUGCCGCGUGUGUGAAGAAGGCCUUCGGGUUGUAAAGCACUUUUGUCCGGAAAGAAAUCCUUGGCUCUAAUACAGUCGGGGGAUGACGGUACCGGAAGAAUAAGCACCGGCUAACUACGUGCCAGCAGCCGCGGUAAUACGUAGGGUGCAAGCGUUAAUCGGAAUUACUGGGGCGUAAAGCGUGCGCAGGCGGUUUGCUAAGACCGAUGUGAAAUCCCCGGGGCUCAACCUGGGAACUGCAUUGGUGACUGGCAGGCUAGAGUAUGGCAGAGGGGGGUAGAAUUCCACGUGUAGCAGUGAAAUGCGUAGAGAUGUGGAGGAAUACCGAUGGCGAAGGCAGCCCCCUGGGCCAAUACUGACGCUCAUGCACGAAAGCGUGGGGAGCAAACAGGAUUAGAUACCCUGGUAGUCCACG
RNAcentral lists this ribosomal RNA (454 nucleotides) under uncultured bacterium. RNAcentral's name for it is "partial 16S ribosomal RNA". It matches the Rfam family "Bacterial small subunit ribosomal RNA", at positions 355 to 799 of the family's 1533-position model. The record is from RNAcentral.